This 468-nucleotide ribosomal RNA is filed under the name uncultured bacterium. RNAcentral describes it as "partial 16S ribosomal RNA". It matches the Rfam family "Bacterial small subunit ribosomal RNA", at positions 28 to 507 of the family's 1533-position model. The record is from RNAcentral.
GACGAACGCUGGCGGCGUGCUUAACACAUGCAAGUCGAACGGAAAGGCCCUGCUUUUGUGGGGUGCUCGAGUGGCGAAAGGGUGAGUAACACGUGAGUAACCUGCCCUUUACUUUGGGAUAACUUCAGGAAACUGGGGCUAAUACCGGAUAGGAGCUCCUGCUGCAUGGUGUGGGUUGGAGAGUGUCGGCGUUUGGGGAUGGACUCGUGGCUUAUCAGCUUGUUGGUGAGGUAGUGGGUUACCAAGGCUUCGACGGGUAGCCGGACUGAGAGGGUGACCGGCCACAAUGGGACUGGGGUACGGGCCAGACUGCUACGGGAGGCAGCAGUGGGGAAUAGUGCACAAUGGGCGGAAGCCUGAUGCAGCAACGUCGCGUGCGGGAUGACGGCCUUCGGGGUGUAAACCGCUUUCGCCUGUGACGAAGCGUGAGUGACGGUAAUGGGUAAAGAAGCACCGGCUAACUACGUG